UACGUAGGGGGCAAGCGUUGUCCGGAUUUAUUGGGCGUAAAGCGCGUGUAGGCGGCCACGCAGGUCCGCUGUGAAAACUCGAGGCUCAACCUCGAGCUGUCGGUGGAAACCGCGUGGCUAGAGUCCGGAAGAGGGGACUGGAAUUCCCGGUGUAGCGGUGGAAUGCGCAGAUAUUCGGAAGAACACCAGUGGCGAAGGCGGCUCACUGGACCGGCAUUGACGCUGAGGUGCGAAAGCGUGGGGAGCAAACAGG
RNAcentral lists this ribosomal RNA (253 nucleotides) under uncultured bacterium. Its description in RNAcentral is "partial 16S ribosomal RNA". It matches the Rfam family "Bacterial small subunit ribosomal RNA", at positions 524 to 776 of the family's 1533-position model. The record is from RNAcentral.